GCGCCUGUAGCUCAGUUGGAUAGAGCAACGGACUUCUAAUCCGUAGGUCAGGGGUUCGAAUCCCUUCAGGCGUACCA
RNAcentral lists this transfer RNA (77 nucleotides) under Desulfobacteraceae bacterium. RNAcentral's name for it is "tRNA-Arg". It matches the Rfam family "tRNA". From Rfam's summary of the family: Transfer RNA (tRNA) molecules are approximately 80 nucleotides in length. Their secondary structure includes four short double-helical elements and three loops (D, anti-codon, and T loops). The record is from RNAcentral. Lineage: Bacteria; Pseudomonadati; Thermodesulfobacteriota; Desulfobacteria; Desulfobacterales; Desulfobacteraceae.